GGUAUAAUGGACUGAAAAAGAAAGAAAGAUUGAUUUCACAGUGGUUAACCAUGGUGUGAUGUCAAAAAAGAGGACCAGCGUUUCUUACGUUAUCAGAGAUGUCCACGAGCCAGUACACAAGGGGGGAGUCAAUGCACUGUUCAUAGCUGAAGCUCCUGCUGACUGUCUCUUCACUGCUUGCAGAGACUCUGUUAUAAGAUCAUGGAAUUACAAGAACAAAGCCAACAUAAGCCUGAUUAAACAGUACGAGCACCAAAACGAUUGGGUAAAAUUUAAAUU
This is a long non-coding RNA of Bolinopsis microptera, 279 nucleotides long. RefSeq lists it as uncharacterized. The record is from RefSeq and is a predicted model, not a curated record. The transcript is spliced from 3 exons. Lineage: Eukaryota; Metazoa; Ctenophora; Tentaculata; Lobata; Bolinopsidae.